GGGGAUGGUAACACCACCAUCCGGGGUUGGCAUGAAGGUUGAAAAACAAUCUGAAGAAAAUACCAGAUACUAUAAACAGUGGCUGCUAUCAUCAGAAACGCAGAAUGAGGGAAAACCACCUGUUUGAGAGUUAGAGCAUGGGUUUCGAAGUCAGGUAGACCCAAAGUGAGCUCCAGCUCUGUCACUAAGUGUUAAGUCUAGAACAACUUAUUUUGCUCUUCUCGACCUCAAAGAACUGUGAGGUGGGACGAUAUUCAGUACCUACCUGUAGUGGGUUGAAUGGAGCCUCUCCUCCCCCAGAAGGUUUGUCCAUCUGGAACCUAAGAAUAUGACCUCAUUUGGAUAAAAGGUCUUUGAGAAUGUGAUCAAGUUAAGGAUCUCCAGAUGAGAUCCUCCUGGAUUAUGCCAGUGAGCCCUACGUCCACAACAAGAGUCCAAUUGGAGAAAAGGCAGAGGGAGACUGCACACAGACACCCACAGAGGGAGGAGCAGGCCAUGUGAAGGCAGAGCAGAGGCUGGAAGGAUGAGUCUCGAUCCCAAGAUCCAAGAUAGCCAGAGCCCCCAGCAGCUACCACUGAGCCAGAGUCUCCCUCAGAAGUGCGAGAAGACAAAUUUCUGUUCCUUUAAUCCCCCCAAUUCAUGGUAAUUUCUUAAUACAGCUCUGAGAACCUAAGACACUCCCUUAGCACAGCAUCUAGCCCACAAGAAGCCCUCAUGAAGGUUAGUUAGCAGAGGUGACAGAAAGACAAUGUCUUAGUCCUUAUUUCAGGAAUAAGGCAACUACACAUACACUGUGCCUCCUCAACCAUACAUUGCCUCCCACCCACAUGCCCUAGAUGGAUCUUCCUUGUCUACACCUCAUGACAUGUCAGGUGGAGGCAAUAGACUCAUCUCCACUUUAUGGGAGAAGGUGUUAAGGCAACGUGCCAAAGCUCACAUAAAGAGCAGAGAUGAAAGCAACCUUAUUUCUUCUGGUUACCAACUGAGUGGUUUUCAUCUUGUUUUUGCAUUGUUUUGCUUAGGUCGAAGAGGUGGGUGUGUGAGUAAGAGAGUAUUGUGCAGAAAUACUCUGUCCUUUAGACGAACCCCCAAGACCUCAGUCUUACUCACCCUGGUUUUGCGACAUGGCUGGAUGUCUCAACGUGGGCCCAAGCAUCAUGAGUGAAGUGGGCAGAACAUGGUCCCCUUCAAGAGUCCUUGGAGAGAUAAAUAAAACAGCAAAUACCAUGGAACGUCCACCUGUGGAGGCCCUAAUGCAGGCAUGCCAGUGAGUUUCCCAUCCAGUCGCACUUGCAUCAACACGCUUCCAGCUUCUCUGCUGGAGAGACAAACAGCGAUUCUAGAGGGGGGACAGCACCAGCCCAUGGUGCAAGCUGCUCACAAGCUGGACAGGGCCUCUGGAAACCAUAGAGAGUCCACAAGUGCAGGAAUGUAACCCUCUAAGAACUCGAGUCCUGGAACGAGACAGCCUGUGUUUGAAGCCCAGCUGGGCCUCAUCUUGCCUCCAUGACCUUGGGUGGCUUAUGCAACAUUUUUUUGUGAC
This 1543-nucleotide long non-coding RNA is filed under the name Canis lupus familiaris (dog). Its description in RNAcentral is "lncRNA (ENSCAFG00040000604.1)". The record is from RNAcentral. Lineage: Eukaryota; Metazoa; Chordata; Mammalia; Carnivora; Canidae.